AUUCUUGGAAUCUUACUGGAAUAACUAUUUUCGCCAUUUUUUCAGUGGAAAGAGCCAAAAAGUGGAAUGCAAUUCGAUCUCUUAUAUACUUACCGCUCUGCGGGAGUCCCAAGCUGGAUCCCAGCGACACGUGCAAAUUCUCCAGGAGGCCGCUUAACUCCGUGCCGUACUCGUUGCGCUGCAAAUGGAAAGAAUGGCGGAUAAGGAGAAUGAGAAUGGGGCUAUUGGCCAGAUUGAAUUAUGCGCAAAUGCGAUUAAAAGUUCUUCCAGCUACUACUGGAAGCAUGCAAAAGAGCAAAGUAAUUUGAUCCGAGUGGGAUUUAUCAGGCAUGGCACUGCUCUGCACUACACUACACUACACUGCACUGCACUACACGGAUCUGCAUUACACAUGGAACGGAAC
Drosophila pseudoobscura is the source of this 403-nucleotide long non-coding RNA. RefSeq lists it as uncharacterized. The transcript is spliced from 2 exons. NCBI's taxonomy places the organism in Eukaryota, Metazoa, Arthropoda, Insecta, Diptera, Drosophilidae. The record is from RefSeq and is a predicted model, not a curated record.